UCCAGACUCCUACGGGAGGCAGCAGUGAGGAAUAUUGGUCAAUGGGCGAGAGCCUGAACCAGCCAAGUCGCGUGAGGGAUGACUGCCCUAUGGGUUGUAAACCUCUUUUGUAUGGGGGGAAUAAGCUUUACGAGUAGAGUGAUGACAGUACCAUACGAAUAAGCAUCGGCUAACUCCGUGCCAGCAGCCGCGGUAAUACGGAGGAUGCGAGCGUUAUCCGGAUUUAUUGGGUUUAAAGGGUGCGUAGGUUGUUUUAUAAGUUAGCGGUGAAAUACCGAUGCUCAACAUCGGGGCUGCCGCUAAUACUGUAGGACUAGAGAUCGGAUGCAGCAGGCGGAAUGUGUAGUGUAGCGGUGAAAUGCAUAGAUAUUACACAGAACACCGAUUGCGAAGGCAGCUUGCUAGGCCGGAUCUGACACUGAUGCACGAAAGCGUGGGGAUCGAACAGGAUUAGAUACCCUAGUAG
This 466-nucleotide ribosomal RNA is filed under the name uncultured bacterium. RNAcentral's name for it is "partial 16S ribosomal RNA". It matches the Rfam family "Bacterial small subunit ribosomal RNA", at positions 330 to 793 of the family's 1533-position model. The record is from RNAcentral.